This 293-nucleotide ribosomal RNA is filed under the name uncultured bacterium. Its description in RNAcentral is "partial 16S ribosomal RNA". It matches the Rfam family "Bacterial small subunit ribosomal RNA", at positions 337 to 622 of the family's 1533-position model. The record is from RNAcentral.
GCCUACGGGACGCAGCAGUAUGGAAUCUUCCACAAUGGGCUAAAGCCUGAUGGAGCAACGCCGCGUGGGUGAAGAAGGUCUUCGGAUCGUAAAACCCUGUUGUUAGAGAAGAAAGUGCGUGAGAGUAACUGUUCACGUUUCGACGGUAUCUAACCAGAAAGCCACGGCUAACUACGUGCCAGCAGCCGCGGUAAUACGUAGGUGGCAAGCGUUAUCCGGAUUUAUUGGGCGUAAAGGGAACGCAGGCGGUCUUUUAAGUCUGCUGUGAAAGCCUUCGGCUUAACCGGAGUAGG